Molecule: ribosomal RNA, 500 nt
Filed under: uncultured bacterium
Lineage: Bacteria
Description: partial 16S ribosomal RNA
Rfam family: Bacterial small subunit ribosomal RNA
Source: RNAcentral
AUUGGACGCUGGCGGAAUGCUUUACACAUGCAAGUCGAACGGCAGCACGGACUUCGGUCUGGUGGCGAGUGGCGAACGGGUGAGUAAUGUAUCGGAACGUGCCCAGUCGUGGGGGAUAACGUAGUGAAAAUUACGCUAAUACCGCAUACGAUCUAUGGAUGAAAGCGGGGGAUCGCAAGACCUCGCGCGAUUGGAGCGGCCGAUAUCAGAUUAGGUAGUUGGUGGGGUAAAGGCCCACCAAGCCAACGAUCUGUAGCUGGUCUGAGAGGACGACCAGCCACACUGGAACUGAGACACGGUCCAGACUCCUACGGGAGGCAGCAGUGGGGAAUCUUGGGCAAUGGGCGAAAGCCUGAUCCAGCCAUUCCGCGUGCAGGAUGAAGGCCCUCGGGUUGUAAACUGCUUUUGUACAGAACGAAAAGGUUUCUACUAAUACUAGGAGCUCAUGACGGUACUGUAAGAAUAAGCACCGGCUAACUACGUGCCAGCCGCCGCAGUAA